GGAGGGAUCGCAUAGUGGCCUAGUGCGGGCGCCUGCUAAGCGCUUGCCCUGGAAACGGGGUCGUGGGUUCGAAUCCCACUCCCUCCGCCA
Molecule: transfer RNA, 90 nt
Filed under: subsurface metagenome
Description: tRNA-Ser
Rfam family: tRNA
About the family: Transfer RNA (tRNA) molecules are approximately 80 nucleotides in length. Their secondary structure includes four short double-helical elements and three loops (D, anti-codon, and T loops).
Source: RNAcentral